UGUUGCGCAGACUCCUGGUCUCUGGACAGUAAGUCACCCCCUUCCAGUAUCCAGUAGUGGGUAUUCAGUUACUUACUAUUGUGUGUUGGUCCUUUACUGUGAGAAAAUUAGAGUGUUCAAAGCAGGCGUUUGCUUGAAUAGAUUAGCAUGGAAUAAUAAUUGAAGGCUUUCGUGUUCGAUUUGAUUGGUUUGUUCAUGGAAGCAAGGUUAAAAGGAACAGUUGGGGGUAUUCAUAUUCACUAGUUAGAGGUGAAAUUCUCGGAUUUAUGGAAGAUGAACAAGUGCGAAAGCAUUUACCAAGGAUGUUUUCAUUAAUCAAGAACGAAAGCUAGCGGAUCGAAGAGGAUUAGAUACCCUCGUAGUCUUAGCUAUAAACGAUACCGACUAGGGGUUAGUAGCAGGUCAAAGUGUCUUUAUUAGUACCUUAUGAG
RNAcentral lists this ribosomal RNA (431 nucleotides) under Blastocystis sp. subtype 1. Its description in RNAcentral is "bacterial SSU rRNA". It matches the Rfam family "Eukaryotic small subunit ribosomal RNA", at positions 647 to 1094 of the family's 1831-position model. The record is from RNAcentral. Lineage: Eukaryota; Bigyra; Opalinata; Blastocystidae.